Non-coding RNA from Pelodiscus sinensis (Chinese soft-shelled turtle), 899 nucleotides. The record is from RefSeq and is a predicted model, not a curated record. Lineage: Eukaryota; Metazoa; Chordata; Testudines; Trionychidae.
CGCAAAGAGAAGCAAUUUUAUCCAAGCGUGGGUUAAUAUUCAGACGUCUGAUGAGCGCUGGGUGUGGGAAGAAGGCAAGUCCUUGAAGUAGACCCUGCAAACACACCCCCGUGCUCUUUGGGAGAGAAACACUUCAGAGGGAAGUCAAAGUGUGCACACCAGAUUUUAAAGAUGUACUUCUUACACCUCCAGCUGGCCUUUCUCAUUCCAAUGACCUUAUCCAGUGCCCAGUGUUUUCAUAAAAACCUCGUACCUAGGCAAGUAACCGACAAAGGCUGCCGUUGGGAUAGCGAGACGCAUGCCUUUAAUAUCUACUGGUACACUGACUAUUGCCUUCGCUGUAUUUGCGACCGAGAAAUGGUUUCCUGUUGCAACAUAACUCCCAUCCCUGCUGACUACGACCGAGAGAAUUGCGAGGAGGUUUACGAAGAGAGUCUCUGCACCUAUCUGGUGAGGGACAAAAUCAACCCUUUCCUGCUCUGUAAAGUCGACAGCUGGUUGCUGUAGCCACCACGCCCUUCAUGGAGUGUUGCCACCCCUACCGGCUACAACAAAGAGAAAUGUGAAAGUAUCUUUGAUCAGGCGACCUGUAGUUACCGUGCGGUGGAGAAGGCCGACCCCUCCAAACUCUGCGAGGUCCAUGGCACGGUGGGGUAACAACCAACCCGCUCAGAAUCAAGAUCAUCGUCCAGGCAAAUCCUUCCGGAGCACAACCUCUUUUAAGCAUCCUUAAGGAAUUCAGCGGGUGAGAAUACCAGCCCUCUCUGUGAUUCUAGGGUGUGUCUGUUACUAUCUAAACACAGAUUGGGGGAGCAGGGAGCUAAAUUGAACCCUGAGCACAGAUCUUGUCAAUUUCUUUCCUGAUGCUCAUGUGAUUAAAAUAAAUUCUGCUGAAGCAU